ACGGAGGGUGCAAGCGUUAAUCGGAAUUACUGGGCGUAAAGGGCGCGUAGGCGGUUUUUUAAGUUAGAUGUGAAAUCCCUGGGCUUAACCUAGGAAAUGCAUUUGAUACUGGGAAUCUAGAGUGUGGUAGAGGAAGGUGGAAUUCUAGGUGUAGCGGUGAAAUGCGUAGAUAUCAGGAGGAACACCGGUGGCGAAGGCGACUUUCUGGACUAAAACUGACGCUGAGGCGCGAAAGCGUGGGGAGCAAACAG
Molecule: ribosomal RNA, 251 nt
Filed under: uncultured prokaryote
Description: partial 16S rRNA
Rfam family: Bacterial small subunit ribosomal RNA
Source: RNAcentral